UACAGAGGUCCCAAGCGUUGUUCGGAUUCACUGGGCGUAAAGGGUGCGUAGGCGGUCGGGUAAGUCUGAUGUGAAAUCUCCAAGCUCAACUUGGAAAUGGCAUCGGGUACUAUUCGGCUCGAGGAAUGGAGGGGAGACUGGAAUACUUGGUGUAGCAGUGAAAUGCGUAGAUAUCAAGUGGAACACCAGUGGCGAAGGCGAGUCUCUGGACAUUUCCUGACGCUGAGGCACGAAAGCCAGGGGAGCAAACGGG
RNAcentral lists this ribosomal RNA (253 nucleotides) under uncultured bacterium. RNAcentral's name for it is "partial 16S ribosomal RNA". It matches the Rfam family "Bacterial small subunit ribosomal RNA", at positions 524 to 776 of the family's 1533-position model. The record is from RNAcentral.